RNAcentral lists this long non-coding RNA (1172 nucleotides) under Olea europaea subsp. europaea. The record is from RNAcentral. Lineage: Eukaryota; Viridiplantae; Streptophyta; Magnoliopsida; Lamiales; Oleaceae.
UCGUACUUUCGCCUUUUUCUCGUUGACCUGUCUUUGUUAAUUAUGCUCACGCCAAUUACUUGUCUUUUCAGGGAUGGCUUUCAAUCCUUCAGCUCUUUAACAGGCCGUGACCAAGAAGUCAAGGGCCCCUCAAGUCCGAGCCCCAGGUCAGAAAAGGGGAAAAAGAGGCCUCGAGAUUCAGGGCCUGAGACUGUUAGGAGUGGUCCUGGCUAGACAUCUGCCCGAGGACAAUCCCUGAUCAUUCAUGAGCACGAAGCUCCGAUUGCCACUCAUCAGUCCCAUCCUCGAUCAAGGAGUACUCCCGAGGUUGUUGACCUCGAGGAUGAGGUUUUUUCUGUGCCUUCUUUUCAAAAUCGAGAUCCUGAUUGGUGUUCACUGGUGUUGAGCAUCAUGGACAAAUAUCGAAAGGACCUCGGCUUCGACGAGGGCAUGAAAGCUCUUGAAUCCCUUACGCUGAAGGUAAGCUCGCUCAUUUUACUUAGUGUAAUUUAUGGAUUUCUAUGACUUGAUCUAACACUUGGAUUUUAUAUAUUGCAGACUCUGAGUAUUUCCCGAGGUCUUUCUUUGAAGGGGAAAGAUGAGGCCCAAAGAACUGCUGAGCUCGAGAGUUCUGCUCAGGCACGCGAGAAGUGGAUUGUUGAUAUGGAGGCUGAGUGCUACCUUCUUCAGAAGGAAUGUGAUGAUGCCAAGAACGAUCUACAGAAGGCACGGGAGGAAGCUGGGAUGGCCAAGGAGGAGGCCGAGGAGUUAAAGCUCGAGAUAGAGCAUUUGAAGAAGGAUUUCGAAGCUCGUCUGACCGAAGCUCGGGGUAUCGCAGUUGAGGACUUCAAAACACCUGAUGCGUUCAAUGGGCUGAAGGGAGAGUACGCCAACUUUCAUGCUUUGAAAGAGGCUCGGGUAUUUUUGCGCUCAAAGCUUGAUGCAAAGCCCGAGGAUUUGAAGAACAUCCCAGAGGUUGCUGAAGACCUCGAGCUUUCGGAGUCUAUGGAAACCAUCGACGACCAGGAGGUCGAUGUUGAUGGUGAGGAUGUGGCGAAAGAGCAAGGAAGCCAAGCCUCGAGAGAACGAGCCGAGGACAUAGACUAGUUUCUGUUUUCUUUUUGUUUUUUAAUACUCUUGGCUCUUUACUUGUACUGAUUGAUUAUUUUUGAAAUCAAUGUAUUCUUCCCAAG